This 21-nucleotide unclassified non-coding RNA is filed under the name synthetic construct. The record is from RNAcentral.
GGCAGGGCUCAUAACCCUGCC